RNAcentral lists this ribosomal RNA (329 nucleotides) under Rhodotorula mucilaginosa. RNAcentral's name for it is "eukaryotic LSU rRNA". It matches the Rfam family "Eukaryotic large subunit ribosomal RNA", at positions 167 to 502 of the family's 3401-position model. The record is from RNAcentral. Lineage: Eukaryota; Fungi; Basidiomycota; Microbotryomycetes; Sporidiobolales; Sporidiobolaceae.
GCGUUGGACCGCACACAAGUCUGUUGGAAUACAGCGGCAUAGUGGUGAGACCCCCGUAUAUGGUGCGGACGCCCAGCGCUUUGUGAUACAUUUUCGAAGAGUCGAGUUGUUUGGGAAUGCAGCUCAAAUUGGGUGGUAAAUUCCAUCUAAAGCUAAAUAUUGGCGAGAGACCGAUAGCGAACAAGUACCGUGAGGGAAAGAUGAAAAGCACUUUGGAAAGAGAGUUAACAGUACGUGAAAUUGUUGGAAGGGAAACGCUUGAAGUCAGACUUGCUUGCCGAGCAAUCGGUUUGCAGGCCAGCAUCAGUUUUCCGGGAUGGAUAAUGGUA